GACGAACGCUGGCGGCGUGCUUAACACAUGCCAGUCGAACGGAAAGGCCCUGCUUUUUUGGUGUUCUCGAGUGGCGAACGGGUGAGUAACAGGUGAGUAACCUGCCCUUCACUUUGGUAUAACUUCAGGAAACUGGGGCUAAUACCAUAUAGGAUCUCCUGCUGCAUUGUGGGGGGUGGAAAGUUUCGGCGGUUGGGGAUGGACUCGCGGCUUAUCAGCUUGUUGGUGGGGUAGUGGCUUACCAAGGCUGUGACGGGUCGCCGGCCUGAGAGGGUGACCGGCGACAUUGGGACUGAGAUACGGCCCAGAGUCGUACGGGAGGCAGCAGUGGGGAAUAUUGCACAAUGGGCGGAAGCCUGAUGCAGAAACGCCGCGUGCGGGAUGACGGCCUUCGGGUUGUAAACCGCUUUCGCCUGUGACGAAGCGUGAGUGACGGUAAUGGGUAAAGAAGCACCGGCUAACUACGUG
This 468-nucleotide ribosomal RNA is filed under the name uncultured bacterium. Its description in RNAcentral is "partial 16S ribosomal RNA". It matches the Rfam family "Bacterial small subunit ribosomal RNA", at positions 28 to 507 of the family's 1533-position model. The record is from RNAcentral.